Molecule: long non-coding RNA, 216 nt
Filed under: Lathyrus oleraceus (garden pea)
Lineage: Eukaryota; Viridiplantae; Streptophyta; Magnoliopsida; Fabales; Fabaceae
Description: Pisum sativum (pea) long non-coding RNA (PSAT_LNC011188)
Source: RNAcentral
GCAAGUCUUGCACUUAGACGAAAUGCCUCCAGAAAUUAUAGAUUAUAAUUGAUAGUUUUUAUGUCGAGCUUGCGACAUUAAACAAAGCGCUUAGUGGGAGACAACCCACAAAUAUUUUAUUAUUUUCUUCUAUUAUCAUUUUUAUAUUUCUUCCUUAAUUAUUCUUUUAAUUUUUGUUUAGUAUUCAUUCUUAAUUUAUUUUAAUUUAUUAAAAAC